GGAUCCAGACUUUGAUUAUGGCUCAGGAUGAACGCUGGCGGCGUGCCUAACACAUGCAAGUCGAGCGAGAAGCUUAUGAUUGAAUCUUCGGAUGAUUGAUUAAGUGGAAAGCGGCGGACGGGUGAGUAACGCGUGGGUAACCUGCCCCAUACAAAGGGAUAGCCACUGGAAACGGUGAUUAAUACCAUAUGAGAUCGUAGAGUCGCAUGACUUAGCGGUUAAAGAUUUAUCGGUAUGGGAUGGACCCGCGUCUGAUUAGCUAGUUGGUAAGGUAACGGCUUACCAAGGCGACGAUCAGUAGCCGACCUGAGAGGGUGAUCGGCCACACUGGAACUGAGACACGGUCCAGACUCCUACGGGAGGCAGCAGUGGGGAAUAUUGCACAAUGGGCGCAAGCCUGAUGCAGCAACGCCGCGUGAGCGAUGAAGGCCUUCGGGUCGUAAAGCUCUGUCCUCAAGGAAGAAAAAAUGACGGUACUUGAGGAGGAAGCCCCGGCUAACUACGUGCCAGCAGCCGCGG
This 519-nucleotide ribosomal RNA is filed under the name uncultured bacterium. RNAcentral's name for it is "bacterial SSU rRNA". It matches the Rfam family "Bacterial small subunit ribosomal RNA", at positions 1 to 520 of the family's 1533-position model. The record is from RNAcentral.